RNAcentral lists this ribosomal RNA (253 nucleotides) under uncultured bacterium. RNAcentral describes it as "partial 16S ribosomal RNA". It matches the Rfam family "Bacterial small subunit ribosomal RNA", at positions 524 to 776 of the family's 1533-position model. The record is from RNAcentral.
UACGUAGGGGGCAAGCGUUGUCCGGAUUUAUUGGGCGUAAAGAGAGUGUAGGAGGCUAGGUAGGUCCGUUGUGAAAACUCGAGGCUCAACCUCGAGACGCCGGUGGAAACCAUCUAGCUAGAGUCCGGAAGAGGAGAGUGGAAUUCCUGGUGUAGCGGUGAAAUGCGCAGAUAUCAGGAAGAACACCCGUGGCGAAGGCGGCUCUCUGGGACGUGACUGACGCUGAGACGCGAAAGCGUGGGGAGCGAACAGG